This 254-nucleotide ribosomal RNA is filed under the name uncultured bacterium. RNAcentral describes it as "partial 16S ribosomal RNA". It matches the Rfam family "Bacterial small subunit ribosomal RNA", at positions 524 to 776 of the family's 1533-position model. The record is from RNAcentral.
UACGUAGGGGGCUAGCGUUGUCCGGAAUCAUUGGGCGUAAAGAGCGUGUAGGCGGUCCGGUAAGUCCGCUGUGAAAGUCGGGGGCUCAACCCUCGAAUGCCGGUGGAUACUGGCGGGCUUGAAUUCGGGAGAGGGAUGUGGAAUUCCAGGUGUAGCGGUGAAAUGCGUAGAUAUCUGGAGGAACACCGGUGGCGAAGGCGGCAGUCCUGGACCGACAUUGACGCUGAGGCGCGAAAGCGUGGGGAGCAAACAGG